Molecule: long non-coding RNA, 1066 nt
Organism: Spea bombifrons (plains spadefoot toad)
Lineage: Eukaryota; Metazoa; Chordata; Amphibia; Anura; Pelobatidae
Exons: 2
Source: RefSeq, a predicted model, not a curated record
UCAGUUUCACCGGAAUAACAAUAUUAAAUGCUCCCAGUGGGUCUGUCCGGGUACUGCGAUUAGUAAUGCGGGGCAUUGCUUGCUGAUCAUUCUGUGAUCACUAGGAGUGAGGUUUCAAGUGAAAUAGGGAGGAAAAAAAAGUGAUUCUACCGUUUCAAAUAAUACUAUAAAAAUAUUUAUUUUUUGAACAGUUAUGAAAAAUGUAAAAAAUAAUAAACAGACUCCAGUGGUGUCACUAUGAUAUAAGGGGUACUGUCCAGUUGCAAGCCAGAUCCCUAAGGAAUCUUUUGGUAAAAGAAAACUAAAAUACAAAAAUAGAAAAUGGGGGAAAAAAUAUUUAAGAAAAUUAAAAAAAAAAAAAAUUGAUGUCCCUCCCAUUACAAAUAUACCUAAAACCUUUUUUGUUUUAAUUAACUUUUUUGCCCUCAAUCCAAAGUUCAAUAAUAAUAAUAAAAUGGUGCAGUAUGCAAGGGAGCGUCAUGCUUAGGGUGGCCAGAAAUGUGACGUGAAGAGGACAGUUUAUUAGAGCAGACUGGUAGCAUUUAAUGAUGCUUCUAAUCAUUGUUACGGCCGAUACCUUAGGCAAAGAGGGUUCGGCUUGCAGGCGAAAAAGUCUCGCCUUUGUCACAUACUUGCUCCUCUAUGGAUAAAAUACUGUUUUGAUCCAUUUCUUAAUUUUUUUUCUAGUUACCUUUUAACUGUUUCAAUCAUAACCCCCACAAAUUGGCUGUUUCAAGCAGCCAAUCAGUGGCAAGGAAGGUCAGGAAGAGUAGGGGGUGGGUAAGCUUCAGUUUCUCACUCAGACAGUAAACUGCCCCUCUAACCGCUUGACGACAAUUGACAUGCAAGGCGCAUGACGGAAGUGCAUUCAUCAUCUAUCUCUUCGCUCAGCUGAUCGUUUUCACCAUAUUGAAAGGCUGUAUGCCAACCAUGCAGGUCAAUAGGUCCCAGCUCACUAACCACUAUGUGAUCAGUAAAAUAAAAUUGAAAAAUAGUUGAAAAAAUAAAACAGACCCCAGUGAUAUCACCAUGACACUAUAAGGGGAACCAUGCAGUUAAAAGAAAA